RNAcentral lists this long non-coding RNA (278 nucleotides) under Capsella rubella. Its description in RNAcentral is "long non-coding RNA (CRUB_LNC004512)". The record is from RNAcentral. Lineage: Eukaryota; Viridiplantae; Streptophyta; Magnoliopsida; Brassicales; Brassicaceae.
AAAAUCGCAAAACGAAUUAGAUCGUCGUCAUUUUUUUUUAUAUAUGUCGUCGACCCCUAUAUAUGUGACUUUUAUCGACAUAUAUACUUUUCUACUUAAACAUUUUUAAUUCGCCAAACUUACUAAUUCUUCAAAAUUUACACUAGUUAAAAAAAAGAAAAAAAAACAUUGUUUUCUCAAUAUUGAAAAACGGAUUUAUUUCCCACCUUUAUUCUUCUUAAUAAUUAACGUUAAAAAAGUGUUCCGUAUUUUAGUUCAAAUUAAAUUCUCCAUUACUU